UAUUGACCGUUCUCCGUCGCUGUGUUUCAGGGUUUAUUAGGACCGCCAGGGCUCCCCGGUAACGAUGGACAAAAGGGAGAUAUCGGAACCUCAGGAAUGAGCGGUGUCGACGGCUCCAAGGGCGAAAUUGGAGAGCAAGGUGAAAAGGGCGACAUGGGAGAGACGGAAUGAAGGGUGACGGCGGGGAAAAGGUUUGUCCACUCACCGUCCUCACCUUCCUCUCUACUCUCUCCCUCCCUCUUUCAUGACACACACACAUGGCUGCUCCUGAGUACCACAGGAGCUGGAUCCCC
This is a long non-coding RNA of Gadus macrocephalus (Pacific cod), 293 nucleotides long. RefSeq lists it as uncharacterized. The transcript has 4 exons. NCBI's taxonomy places the organism in Eukaryota, Metazoa, Chordata, Actinopteri, Gadiformes, Gadidae. The record is from RefSeq and is a predicted model, not a curated record.